CAGGAACAAGCCGAAAAUCCUUUGCAACAACAAAACAGAGUAGGUA
Non-coding RNA from Bacteroidetes bacterium GWF2_35_48, 46 nucleotides. Lineage: Bacteria; Pseudomonadati; Bacteroidota. The record is from Rfam.